This 104-nucleotide small nuclear RNA is filed under the name Vulpes vulpes (red fox). The record is from RNAcentral. Lineage: Eukaryota; Metazoa; Chordata; Mammalia; Carnivora; Canidae.
GUGCUUGCUUCAGCAACACAUAUACUAAAAUUGUAACAAUACAGAGAUUAGCAUGGCUCCUGCACAAGAAUGACAUGCAAAUUUGUAAAGCAUUCCAUACUUUA